This 1297-nucleotide long non-coding RNA is filed under the name Capra hircus (goat). Its description in RNAcentral is "lncRNA (ENSCHIG00010025577.1)". The record is from RNAcentral. Lineage: Eukaryota; Metazoa; Chordata; Mammalia; Artiodactyla; Bovidae.
AUGCAAUCUGGGUGGUUUUUCCAGGUCCCUCCCUGCCGCCUUCCGCGCCCAGUCCCUGCCCCCGCGACGCCUGCGGGCCUGGGAGAGCGCGCGGGGACGCGCGGCCCGGGCGGGGCGAGGCUGACGCCGCUGAGCCCGCGGAGGGGGCUAUGGGCGCCCUUCCGGAUCCCGCACCUGAAAGCGCGGGACGCUGGGGCUCCGGCUGCCGACAAGGCUGGUACCCAGCCCCUCUCGGAGGCCCCCGUAGAGCCCGGCGUUCAUUCUCCCGCUCUCCCGGGGCGCGCUCUGCGGUUACCUGCGUGGCGACUGUCCACGCGGCCUAAGCUCCUGAAACCCUCCCGCCACCGGCCCUCUCGGCCCGCGCUUCCUCCGGGCGGCAAAGCCCUAUCUCCAGCGUCCCGGGAGCAUCCUGAAAGGGGCUCAGAUUUGUACCUGGCGCGGGUUACUGUAGUGAUUGGGGUACGGUUACCGGUUCUCCCAUUAUGAGUAAAGGGCCGGAUAAUUGGAGCCGAAUGAGGAAUACUUCAGACGGCGUUGUGUUCCCAAUAAGAGAUCGAUUUCAAACAUAAAAAUCCAACUUCAUCCCCAGCACUUUAUCUGGAAAACGGCAACAGAACCCACCACACGGCCGUCCGACGAGGGAGCAGGGCGAUGUGGCGGGUGGGGGGGCCCGCUAAGGUGGGCGCUCAAGUUCCCGGCAGGUUUAGCUGAACGAAGGUAGGGAGAUCGCUCGGGGAACUUGGCCAAAUCGACACAGAAGUACAAAGGCAAUGGUCCGAGGUGGAGGGCGGGAGAUCUGAGCCACGAACUGCAAAAAGCUCUGCUUUGGCUUGAUUUAGAAAAACAUCAGGUACAGUAUUCGAUACAUUUUAUUUAGGGGCUAGGGCAAAGCAAAGGAAGUGGGCCCCUGGACCGGAGGAGGCUGCAGUCUCCAGCGAGCAGCCAGCACCGAACAAGGAGGAGCAGUUAAGAGGAAACGGCGUGGGGGUCCACGGUGCCCGAAAGUUUGUUUGGUGGCCGAGAGUCCAGCCCUCUUCGCCCCCGAGACCCGCGCAACCGCGCGCGGAGGUUUCACUCCCCAAGGUGGGCAGUGAGUGACUCGGGCCGGAGGAGCGUGCGCCCCGAGCCGGGGCGGGGUGGGGGGGGGCCGGAAAGCUUCCGCCCGCUGUUUGCACUUAAAGGUGUGUUGGGCUCGGGAGCGGCUUUUCCGGGGCUUGGCCAGCGCGCCCGCCACCUCCCGGCCGCCGUUGGCCGGUCCCUCCCUCCGCAGUUGGCCCUCUCAGGGCGCCGCGCCCCG